GAAAUUCGCGGGAGACGAGCUCCAAGCCUCAAAUGUCGUGUGUCUGCUCCUGGGGUACCUGCUGGCCCUGAAUCAAGCCUCUGCAUCCCUGGGACUCCAGGAACUUUGGGAUCCAGAGAAGCAAGCUCUUUUAUCCCAGGACCCAUGACUGCCCAAGCUGUGAGCUUCCUGAGGGCAGGGACCCUGUUCUCUCUCCCAGAGCCAGGGCUCCAUGUUGGAACUGGCCCUGACAGCGUCUGUUAAACCUCCACGAAACGACGUUCCUGAACUUGAAGCCAUAGGACAGGACUCUGAAGAUCACCAAAUCACAUCGUGAGAAAACAAAGCCCUUUUCAGCUCUGCACCGGUCCUUCUCGUGACAGCAAGGAGAACGUGUCGGGCUGGCUGGAGGAUGUCUUUAACACUCACCCCUCUCACCCUCGCCCACCUCCACAUAGAACCAAGAACACGCAGGUCCUAGACUCAGACUCUGGUGGAUGAAUGUGUGUAGCAAAAGUGACCGCAUUGCUUUAUUUUAGAAUUAUCUCCAAUUUAUACCAGGUGAUACUGGUUUUCCACUUGUAAUAGCAAUGUUAUUUUUCUGAAGUUUGUUUUUAAUUUUAAUUCACUUUCAGACAUACAGUAAAAUUGCAAGCAUAAUAGAGUUCCUGUACCUUUCACCCAGGUUCACUUAGUGUUAAUAUCCUUCCCUCUCUCUCUGCCUCUUCCCCUACCUUCCCCACCAAACUACCUACCUACCUACACACACACACACAC
This 756-nucleotide long non-coding RNA is filed under the name Callithrix jacchus (white-tufted-ear marmoset). RNAcentral describes it as "lncRNA (ENSCJAG00000066870.2)". Lineage: Eukaryota; Metazoa; Chordata; Mammalia; Primates; Cebidae. The record is from RNAcentral.